Molecule: long non-coding RNA, 3722 nt
Filed under: Homo sapiens (human)
Lineage: Eukaryota; Metazoa; Chordata; Mammalia; Primates; Hominidae
Description: non-protein coding lnc-NCOA3-5:9
Source: RNAcentral
CUUCCUCUACAGUUUUCCUGACUGCUACAUUUCAUGAGAAGGGAUUGUUUAUGAGGGUCAAGGAGCUGGAGGCCUGGGGAGGAGCUGGUGUUUCUGUUCAAGUUUGAGGGUCCUGGAGCUGGAGUCCAGGGGAGGAGCCGGUGCUGCCACUGAUGUCUUAGGGUCGUGGAGCUGAAGAUCCCAGAGGAGCCGGUGCUGCUAUUCUAGCUUGAGUUUCGUGGAGCUGGAGACCCAGGGAGAAGAUGGUGCUGCUGUUCUAAUUUAAGGAUCGUGAAACAGAAGACCCAGAAAGGAGCUGGUGCUGCCGCUGCUCAGAUCUGAGGGUGUUGGAGCUGGAGACUUAGGGAGGAGACGUCUUGUUCUAGUUUCAGGGUCGUGGAGCUGCAGACUGAGGCAGGAGCAUUGUUGUUAUAGUUCGAGGGUCAGAAAGCUGGCGACCCAGGGAGGAGAGGUCUUGUUCUGGUCUGAGGGUCGUGGAGCUGCAGACCCAGGGAGGAGCAAUUUUGUUGUAGUUCGAGGGUCAGGAAGCUGGCGACCCAGGGAGAGGUCUUGUACUAGUCUGAGGGUCGUGGAGCUGCAGACCCAGGGAGGGGCAAUGUUGUUGUAAUUCGAGGGUCUGGCAGCUGGCAACUCGGGGAGGAGAAGUCUUGUUGGAGUUUGAGGGUCGUGGAGCUGCCAACCCAGGGAGGAGCAAUUUUGUUGUAGUUCAAGGGUCCGGAAGCUGGCGACCCAGGGAGGAGAGGUCUUGAUCCGGUCUGAGGGUCGUGGAGCUACAGACCCAGGGUGGAGCAAUGUUGUUGUAGUUCGAGGGUCUGGUAGCUGGCAACUUGGGGAAGACAAGUCUUGUUCGAGUUCGAGGGUCGUGGAGCUGCAGACCCAGGGAGGAGCCAUUUUGUUGUAGUUCAAGGGUCCGGAAACUGGCGACCCAGGGAGGAGAGGUCUUGUUCUGGUUUGAGGGUCGUGGAGCCGCAGACCCAGGGAGGAGCAAUGUUGAUGUAAGUUGAAGGUCCGGUAGCUGGCACCCUGGGGAGGAGAAGUCUUGUUCGAGUUUGAGGGUCGUGGAGCUGCCGACCCAGGGAGGAGCAAUUUUGUUGUCGUUCGAGUGUCAGGAAGCUGGCGACUCAGGUAGGAGAAAUUUUGUUCUAGUUUCAGGGUUGUGGAGCUGCAGACCCAGGGAGGAGCAAGGUUGUUGUAAUUCGAGGGUCAGGAAGCUGGCGACCCAGGGAGGAGAGGUCUUGUUCUGGUCUGAGGGUCAUGGACCUGCAGACCCAGGGAGGAGCAGUGUUGUUGUAGUUUGAAGGUCAGGAAGCUGGCGGCCCAGGGAGGAGAGGUCUUGUUCUAGUUUGAGGGUCGUGGAGCUGCAGACCCAGGGAGGAGCCAUGUUGGUUUGAAUGUUGUGGAUCUGGAGAUCCACGGAGGAGCUGGUGCUGCCUUUGAAGUCUGAGAGUCACUGAGCUGGAGAUCCAGAGAGGAACCGGUGUUGCUGUUCUAGUCUGAACAGAUCUAGAGUUCUGGGGAGUUGCCGGUUCUGCCUCUCAAGUCUGAGAGUUGUUGAGCUGGAGAUUCAGGGAGGAGCCUGUGUUGCUGUUGUAGUUUGAGGGUCAUGGAGCUGCAGACUCAGGGAGGAGGGGUGCGGUUCUAGUCUGAGGGUUGUGGAGCUUGAGACACAGGGAGGAGCUGGUGCUGCUGUUGUUUAAGGCUGAGGGUUGUGGUGCUGGAGACCCAGGUAAGAGCUGGUGCUGCUGUUGUUUAAGGCUGAGGGUUGUGUAGCUGGACAGUGGGGAGGAGGUAGUCUUAGUGUCUAAUGUGAGGUUGGUGGAGCUGUGGACCUGGGGUGGGGCCGGUGCUACUGUGUAGUUUGAGGGUCAUGGAACUGGAGACCUAGGGAGGAGCUGGUGCUACCACCAUUUAAGUCAGAGGGUCAUGGAUCUGGAGCUUUGGGGAACAGCCCAUGCUGCUGUUUAACUGUGGGGAGGAUGUGCUGUGUCCAUUGAAGUUUGAGGGUUUGGGAGCUGGAGACCCAGGGAGGAGCUGAUGAUGCCAUUCUAUUUUGAGGGUCGUGGAUCUGGGGACCUGGGGAGAGGCUGGUACUGCUGUUGUAGUUUGAGGUUCGUGGAACUGGAGACAGGGGGAGGAGCCGGUGGUGCUGUUCAUGUCUGAGGGUUGUAGAGCUGGAGACCCAGGGAGAAGCCCGUACUACAGCUUUUUAAGUCUGAGGGUCGUGGAGCCUGAGACCUGGGGAGAGGCCAGUGCUGCUGUUCAAAUGGCUCCUUUCCGGGUCUCCAGCUCCAUGACCUUUAAACUAGGAGAGCAGCAGCAGCUCCUCCCGGGGUCUUCCAGCUCCAUGACCCUCACACUAGAACAGCAGCAGCAGCACAGGGAGGAGCUGCUGCUGUUCAAGACUGAGGGUCGUGUAGCUGGAGAGCGGGGAGGAGGUAGUCUUGGUGUCUCGUAUGAGGGUGGUGGAGUUGUGGACCUGGGGAGGAGCCGGUGCUGCUGUGUAGUUUGAGGGUUGUGGAACUGGAGACCUAGGGAGGAGCCGGUGCUACUGCCAUUUAAGUCAGAGGGUCGUGGAUCUGGAGCUUUUGGGAACGGCCCGUGCUGCUGUUUAACUGUGGGGAGCAUCCGGUGUGUCAAUUGAAGUUUGAGGGUUUGGGAGCUGGAGACCCAGGAGGGAUCCGAUGAUGCCAUUCUAUUUUGAGGGUCAUGGAUCUGGAGACCUGGGGAGAGGCCGGUACUGCUGUUGUAGUUUGAGGGUCGUGGAAGUGGAGACAAGGGUAGGAGCUGGUGCUUCUGCUGUUUAUGUCUGAGGAUUGUAGAGCUGGAGACCCAGGGAGGAACUGGUGUUGCUGUUCUAGUCUGAGGGUAGUGAAGCUGGAGACCCAAGGAGGAGCCGGUGCUAUUAUUGUUCAUGUCUGAGGAUUGUGUAGCUGGAGACCCAGGGAGGAGUCGGAGCUGCUGAUCUAGUUUGAAGGCUGUGGAGCUGCAGAUCCCAGGAAGAGCCGGUGCUGCCGUUCAAAUCUGUGGGUCUUGGAGUUGGAGCCCUGGGGUGACCCAGUUCUUUCAUUCAUGUCUUAGGAUCAUGGAACUGGAAACCUACGGAGGCGGCGGUACUGCUGUUCUAGUUUAAGGAUCGUGAAGCUGGAGACCUGGACAGGAGCUGGUGCUACCGCUGUUCAAAUCUGAGGGUCAUGGAGCUGGAGUCUUGGGGAGGUGCCGGUGCUGCCUCUCAAGUCUGAGGGUUGUUGAGCUGGAGAUUCAGGGAGGAGCCGGUGUUGCUGUUGUUGUUGGAGGAUUGUGGAGCUGGAGGCCAAAGAGGAGCUGGUGUUGCAGUUCAAUUUUGACGGUCGUGUAGCUGGAGACCUAGGGAGGAGCUGGUGCUACCACUGUGUAAGUUGAGGUUUGCAGAGCUGGUGGCCACGGGGAAGAGCCAGUGCUAUAGCUGAAGUUUGAGGGAACUGGAGACCCAGGGAGUAGCCGGUGCUGCUUUCUAGUUUGAGGGUUGUGGAGCUGGAGGCUUGGUGGGGAGCCGGUGCCGCCUCCCAAGUCUGAGAGUCAUUGAGCUGGAGAUCCACAGGGGAGCUGGUGCUGCUGUUGUAGUUUGAGGAUUGUGGAGCUGGAGACCCGGGGCGGAGCUGGUGCUGCAGUUGGAGUUUGAGGGUCAGGGAGCUGGAGAUCUGGGGAGCGGCCAGUACAGCUGUUUAAGCCUGAGGGUCGUGGAG